CCUACGGGAGGCAGCAGUAGGGAAUUUUCGGCAAUGGGGGGAACCCUGACAGAGCAACGCCGCGUGAACGAAGAAGUUAUUCGUAAUGUAAAGUUCUUUUAACAGGGAAGAAAGAGAAAUUUGACGGUACCUGAAGAAUAAGCUCCGGCUAACUACGUGCCAGCAGCCGCGGUAAUACGUAGGGAGCGAGCUGUAUCCGGAAUUAUGGGGCGAAAAGGGUGCGUAGAUGGCAUAGUAAGUCUUUUGUAAAAAUGCUGGGCUCAACCCAGGAGGGCAAAAGAUACUGCAAAGCUAGAGUAUGACAGAGGCAAGUGGAACUACAUGUGUAGCGGUAAAAUGCGUAAAUAUAUGUAAGAACACCAGUGGCGAAGGCGGCUUGCUGGGUCGAUACUGACAUUGAGGCACGAAAGCGUGGGGAGCAAACAGGAUUAGAUACCCUUGUAGUC
Molecule: ribosomal RNA, 446 nt
Filed under: uncultured bacterium
Lineage: Bacteria
Description: partial 16S ribosomal RNA
Rfam family: Bacterial small subunit ribosomal RNA
Source: RNAcentral